CCCACCCCCGGAGUUCCUGCCUCAGGACUCUGGGUGCUACUGGAGAGAAACAGAUUUCUCCAGCCAUGACCAGCAUAGCUGGAGUUUUCAGCCAUUACUAUAAUAAAAACCAAGUACCAUAUGAAAAUCAAUGUGCAACAGGAAAUGAGCAUCGUCGUGUUACUCUGAUUCUCAGGUUUAAGAAGAUAUUCAGUGCCCAAACAGGCAUACACAUUCCAUUACUGACGGUUGAUGGAUCAUCGGAGCCUGCGCUGGAGCCCGGAGUGUCCGCUGACCCAGGGUCCCACCUGCCUCUCCCUCCCCUCUCCUGUCGCUUCUGGCUGCCUCAUCCUCUCUCGCUCUCCACCGGGGACUGCUGAAACCCCCACCCUGAGGACCAGCAUUGUUUAUUGGAAUUUGACGGCUGGACCUGCUGUGACCGUUUUGCUAAUGCCAAGAGGAUGAAGUCAACACACAAAGGAGACCAGAUCAGAAGGAACCAUAAGAAGCAGAUUGGGAGUCUGAUUCACUGCUGGAUUACUUAUUAUGCAAGGAAACAAACUUCCUGAUCUCCUGAUUGUUCAAGCCACUUUGAGUUCAGGUUAUCUGUUCUUUAUAGCUAAAAGCAUCUGAAGUUAUACCCAUCAAAUACACAUAGGCACACACACACACAAAAUAUCUCCUCCCUAACCAACCCUCACUGUCUGAAAUGCUUCUCCUGACCCAUUCUUUUCACUGGGGAGUUUUCUCUCUACAAUAUCCACAUAUCUCUGGAAGAUCCUCUGUACAUAUUUUCAUUUUUCUAAAAAUUGGUUUAAAUGUUGCUUACUAUUUUAUUGAGUCUUUACGAAAUGCUAGACCCUUGGGGCUGUGAGGAUUUGAGAUUAAGGGAAGGGGCCAGUAGAUGGGGAUGGUCUUUAAAGACUUGCUUUCAAAAAAUGAAGGAGAAUUAUCUAGGCCACUGUCUUCUUGGACUCCUCUCACUUUCACCACUAGGCUCACCACAGGCUGAUUGACUCCACCAAGAGGAGUGAAGAAAGCAGAGAAGUACCUAGUGGAUUGGGAGAGCAAGGUGUGUUUAGCCCUGAGACUCUAAUUCAUUGCUACUUGCCUGCAAGAAAGAGAAAGUGAUCCACUGUCACUGUGAUUAAGGUGUACUUCUUUUUGCCUUCCUCCUUUCUCUUUCAAUUUAGAAAAGAGAAAGGUUGGAAGAGAUAAACUCAAUCUCUAGAAUGUGAAACCGGAGUUCAAUAGGAGAAAAAAAUUGAAAUAUCAAAUCCAAGUAGAAUUAAUUUAAAGACUGAUGUGUCACCACUGAGAACGGGGAAUGCACUGAGCCCAUGACCGCUAAAUUCUUGCCCAGACAUGCUUGUUGGUGUUGGGGGUGGCACCAAAAGGGGUGUGCAUAAGCUGGAGGAGGAAAGUAGCUUCA
Long non-coding RNA from Lontra canadensis (Northern American river otter), 1411 nucleotides. RefSeq lists it as uncharacterized. Lineage: Eukaryota; Metazoa; Chordata; Mammalia; Carnivora; Mustelidae. The record is from RefSeq and is a predicted model, not a curated record. The transcript is spliced from 4 exons.